RNAcentral lists this ribosomal RNA (279 nucleotides) under uncultured Glomus. RNAcentral's name for it is "partial 18S ribosomal RNA". It matches the Rfam family "Eukaryotic small subunit ribosomal RNA", at positions 569 to 854 of the family's 1831-position model. The record is from RNAcentral. Lineage: Eukaryota; Fungi; Glomeromycota; Glomeromycetes; Glomerales; Glomeraceae.
AGCAGCCGCGGUAAUUCCAGCUCCAAUAGCGUAUAUUAAAGUUGUUGCAGUUAAAAAAGCUCGUAGUUGAAUUUCGGGACUAAUAUGUCGGUCGUACUUUGUACGUACUAGCAUUAUGGUUUCUCCCUUCUGACGAACCACGAUGUCAUUAAUUUGGUGUCGUGGGAAAUCAGGACUAGUUACUUUGAAAAAUUAGAGUGUUUAAAGCAAGCUCGACGCUUGAAUACAUUAGCAUGGAAUAAUGAAAUAGGACGUUUGAUUCUAUUUUGUUGGUUUCUA